Molecule: unclassified non-coding RNA, 681 nt
Filed under: Hevea brasiliensis (rubber tree)
Lineage: Eukaryota; Viridiplantae; Streptophyta; Magnoliopsida; Malpighiales; Euphorbiaceae
Source: RNAcentral
AUUUAUCUCUGACAAAGGAAGAACUACAUUACCAAAAAAAUAAAUAAAGAAAUAGGACAGAACUAGGAAUCAAUCUGUUCUCAGGAGCCAGCAACAGGAUAAAAUUGAAAUGAAUCACUGAAGCUCUGCUGGAGCCGCAUUCCAAUUUUUAUCAAUGACUGUGAAAUGGGUCCGUCCAAUCCAUAUAAAAACAAAUGCGGCUUCGUCUCGCCGCGCAGUCAACGGCUGCUGAUUGAGUUUACACGUCCUUUCCCACUCACCCCUAACCUAUUACAACCCAGAACGUGUCUCCUCUUUGCUUCCCGAGAGACUCACCUCAUAUGAUAUUUCUUUCUCCUGUUCUGUCUAGUGUCUACUUUUUGGCGUCUCCUCCGACUACCGGACUUCACUGCUUGCCGGAAGAAUUUUACGGUGGAAAAUAUUAGAGCAAGAGAACUUACAAAGAGAAUAUGUUCAAAUCAUUUUUUUUUCAACUUUAUUCUCCAUUAGAGCCUGAGGUGAAUUGACAAUGCAUUGGAUACAAAAGAUUAUUCCUUGCAAUAUCACAUUAAUUACUAAUGUAUACUCCUCCGUCUUUAUUUUCUUUUUUUAAUUAAUCUUGAAGUUCCUAACCCAUUUGCUCGAGUGCUUUCAAUUUGCAGAUGGUUUCAGAGAGUGCGCAAUAAUUGAUCUUAAUUUUUG